GUGGGUAUAGCUCAGUGGUAGAGUGUGUGCUUAGCAUGCGUGAGGUCCUGGGUUCAAUCCUCAGUACCUCCA
This 72-nucleotide transfer RNA is filed under the name Camelus bactrianus (Bactrian camel). It matches the Rfam family "tRNA". Rfam says of the family: Transfer RNA (tRNA) molecules are approximately 80 nucleotides in length. Their secondary structure includes four short double-helical elements and three loops (D, anti-codon, and T loops). Further hydrogen bonds mediate the characteristic L-shaped molecular structure. tRNAs have two regions of fundamental functional importance: the anti-codon, which is responsible for specific mRNA codon recognition, and the 3' end, to which the tRNAs corresponding amino acid is attached (by aminoacyl-tRNA synthetases). tRNAs cope with the degeneracy of the genetic code in two manners: having more than one tRNA (with a specific anti-codon) for a particular amino acid; and 'wobble' base-pairing, i.e. permitting non-standard base-pairing at the 3rd anti-codon position. RNAcentral also lists the same sequence under 2 other names. Lineage: Eukaryota; Metazoa; Chordata; Mammalia; Artiodactyla; Camelidae. The record is from Rfam by way of RNAcentral.